RNAcentral lists this ribosomal RNA (245 nucleotides) under uncultured Eubacteriales bacterium. RNAcentral describes it as "uncultured Clostridiales bacterium partial 16S ribosomal RNA". It matches the Rfam family "Bacterial small subunit ribosomal RNA", at positions 524 to 768 of the family's 1533-position model. Lineage: Bacteria; Bacillati; Bacillota; Clostridia; Eubacteriales. The record is from RNAcentral.
UACGUAGGGAGCGAGCGUUGUCCGGAAUGACUGGGCGUAAAGGGCGCGUAGGCGGCUGUGUAAGUUUGGAGUGAAAGUCCCGUUUUCAAGAUGGGAAUUGCUUUGAAAACUGCGCAGCUUGAGUGAUGGAGAGGAUAGCGGAAUUCCCGGUGUAGCGGUGAAAUGCGUAGAGAUCGGGAGGAACACCAGUGGCGAAGGCGGCUAUCUGGACAUAAACUGACGCUGAGGCGCGAAAGCGUGGGUAG